UACGGAAGGCAGCAGUGGGGAAUAUUGCACAAUGGGCGCAAGCCUGAUGCAGCCAUGCCGCGUGUAUGAAGAAGGCCUUCGGGUUGUAAAGUACUUUCAGCGGGGAGGAAGGCGGUGAAGUUAAUAGCUUCACCGAUUGACGUUACCCGCAGAAGAAGCACCGGCUAACUCCGUGCCAGCAGCCGCGGUAAUACGGAGGGUGCAAGCGUUAAUCGGAAUUACUGGGCGUAAAGCGCACGCAGGCGGUCUGUCAAGUCGGAUGUGAAAUCCCCGGGCUUAACCUGGGAACUGCAUUCGAAACUGGCAGGCUAGAGUCUUGUAGAGGGGGUAGAAGUUCCAGGUGUAGCGGUGAAAUGCGUAGAGAUCUGGAGGAAUACCGGUGGCGAAGGCGGGCCCCUGGGACAAAGACUGACGCUCAGGGUGCGAAAGCGUGGGGAGCGAAACAGGGAUUAGGAUACCCGGU
This 463-nucleotide ribosomal RNA is filed under the name uncultured bacterium. Its description in RNAcentral is "bacterial SSU rRNA". It matches the Rfam family "Bacterial small subunit ribosomal RNA", at positions 340 to 791 of the family's 1533-position model. The record is from RNAcentral.